UACGUAGGAUGCUAGCGUUGUCCGGAUUUACUGGGCGUAAAGCGCGCGCAGGCGGCACUGUAAGUAAGGUGUGAAAUAUCCCUGCUCAACGGGGAGGGUGCACUUUAGACUGCAGAGCUAGAGGACGGUAGAGGGGGGUGGAAUUGCUGGUGUAGCGGUGAAAUGCGUAGAGAUCAGCAGGAACACCCGUGGCUAAGGCGGCUCUCUAGUACGGUACUGACGCUGAGACGCGAAAGCGUGGGGAGCGAACAGG
RNAcentral lists this ribosomal RNA (253 nucleotides) under uncultured bacterium. RNAcentral's name for it is "partial 16S ribosomal RNA". It matches the Rfam family "Bacterial small subunit ribosomal RNA", at positions 524 to 776 of the family's 1533-position model. The record is from RNAcentral.